ACGGGUGAGUAAUACAUCGGAACGUGCCCUGUAGUGGGGGAUAACUAGUCGAAAGAUUAGCUAAUACCGCAUACGACCUGAGGGUGAAAGUGGGGGACCGCAAGGCCUCAUGCUAUAGGAGCGGCCGAUGUCUGAUUAGCUAGUUGGUGGGGUAAAGGCCCACUAAGGCGACGAUCAGUAGCUGGUCUGAGAGGACGAUCAGCCACACUGGGACUGAGACACGGCCCAGACUCCUACGGGAGGCAGCAGUGGGUAAUUUUGGACAAUGGGGGCAACCCUGAUCCAGCAAUGCCGCGUGUGUGAAGAAGGCCUUCGGGUUGUAAAGCACUUUUGUCCGGAAAGAAAUCGCACUUACUAAUAUUAGGUGUGGAUGACGGUACCGGAAGAAUAAGGACCGGCUAACUACGUGCCAGCAGCCGCGGUAAUACGUAGGGUCCAAGCGUUAAUCGGAAUUACUGGGCGUAAAGCGUGCGCAGGCGGUUGUGCAAGACCGAUGUGAAAUCCCCGGGCUUAACCUGGGAAUUGCAUUGGUGACUGCACGGCUAGAGUGUGUCAGAGGGGGGUAGAAUUCCACGU
RNAcentral lists this ribosomal RNA (576 nucleotides) under uncultured bacterium. RNAcentral describes it as "bacterial SSU rRNA". It matches the Rfam family "Bacterial small subunit ribosomal RNA", at positions 102 to 674 of the family's 1533-position model. The record is from RNAcentral.